RNAcentral lists this small RNA (496 nucleotides) under Arabidopsis thaliana (thale cress). RNAcentral describes it as "ATSL118930". The record is from RNAcentral. Lineage: Eukaryota; Viridiplantae; Streptophyta; Magnoliopsida; Brassicales; Brassicaceae.
AUUAUAUAAAACCAAAAAUGUUAUGUGGUACGUAUAAUGUUACUAUAUAUAAAAUAUAAAUGUAUUAAAGAAUGAUAUAAUUUGCAAAACUUUUAUCUAUAAAAAAUAAUUCUUAAAUUUUAAAAAUUACUACUUUAAAAAGAAAUCACGGGACGGGUAAAGAAAUUAUAGAACGGGUUUUAUUUUGGAAUUGGGUUAUAUUGUGGAUGUAUUUGAAUCAAUAUUUAUAAAAAAUUAAAAUAUUAUUAAUAUGCUGUUUUAAUAAGGGUUACAACUUCAGUUUUUUAACAAUUGUCUCAUAGAUUCGUGGUAUAGCUUUACUUAAUAACAAUUAUAAACUGUAAAAUAUAAAUAUUUUAUAAAAAUAAAAUUUACAAAUUUUAAUAUAUAUUAUUUUUAAAAAAUAAAUCGUCCCGUUAAAAUCUAGUAUUACUAUAUUACAACACACAAACCACAUGACAUAUUAGAGUCAGUUAAAAUAUUGUCCACGAUUUCU